This 453-nucleotide long non-coding RNA is filed under the name Homo sapiens (human). RNAcentral's name for it is "HSALNT0283858". Lineage: Eukaryota; Metazoa; Chordata; Mammalia; Primates; Hominidae. The record is from RNAcentral.
UAUGAACUGAGGAGUUGGUUUAUUUUCAUCAGUUGUUAUUUUUGCAGGAAUCAGACUUAUUUAAAAAAAACUAAAAACUUGCCGCUUUCUUUCCUAAGGUAAAUUUAGUAGGUUCAUACAUGUUGGUAUAAGGUCUGAAACUCUAAACCACAAUGGUUACCUAAACAGCAAGUGGAAGAACAAGGAUUUGCUCUCAUCUCUGUCUGUCACAAAGUUCUGAGGUCCUAAUCAUAAAUAAAACUGCAUCUGAAGAAGUGUGUAAUGGAGUUGUUUUACUGCUUUCUUUAAACAAGUUAUUCUUCAAUCCUUCAUUCACAAAUUAAUUUUUCUUUAGAAAAAUUAAGCCAUUUUAGAUAUCAGCUAAUUACUGACUUUUGAGCAUGCAAGAUUUAUCAUCUUCAAUGAUAUGUUUUCCUUAAGCUUCUGCCCUUUCACAUUGCUUUUCUUUUAAAA